Molecule: ribosomal RNA, 208 nt
Filed under: uncultured Leptotrichia sp.
Lineage: Bacteria; Fusobacteriati; Fusobacteriota; Fusobacteriia; Fusobacteriales; Leptotrichiaceae
Description: partial 16S ribosomal RNA
Rfam family: Bacterial small subunit ribosomal RNA
Source: RNAcentral
GAGGGAAACGUUACUGAUAAUACUGGAUAAGUUAGUAUAUCGCAUGAUAUGCAAAUGAAAGCUACGGCACUAAAGGAGAGCUUUGCGUCCUAUUAGCUAGUUGGUAAGGUAAGAGCUUACCAAGGCGAUGAUAGGUAGCCGGCCUGAGAGGGUGGACGGCCACAAGGGGACUGAGAUACGGCCCUUACUCCUACGGGAGGCAGCAGAA